Molecule: unclassified non-coding RNA, 144 nt
Organism: Pongo abelii (Sumatran orangutan)
Lineage: Eukaryota; Metazoa; Chordata; Mammalia; Primates; Hominidae
Rfam family: Metazoan signal recognition particle RNA
About the family: The signal recognition particle (SRP) is a universally conserved ribonucleoprotein. It is involved in the co-translational targeting of proteins to membranes. The eukaryotic SRP consists of a 300-nucleotide 7S RNA and six proteins: SRPs 72, 68, 54, 19, 14, and 9.
Source: Ensembl
GCUGGGCAUGGUGGUGUGUGCCUGUAAUCCCAGCUACUCAGGAGGCUGAGGCAGGAGAAUUGCUUGAACCCAGGAGGUGGAGUUUGCAGUGAGCUGAGAUCAUGCCACUGCACUCCUGGGUGACAGAGCAAGACUCUGUCUCGA